CCUCACACCCGCGGGGCAGCUCAGGCAUGGAGCCCCCUGGUGGAGCCCGUCCCUUCCCUUGGAGAGGCUCAGCGGAGUCAGUGAAACUCUCCCUACAGGUGGGACUCUGGAGCCUGCGGGCCCUGUAAGGAAGAAAAGCAGGUGGGAAAGUGAGCAAGGCCCCCCAAGCCAGGCUGGGAGCACAGCGCAUAAAAGGCCUUGUUGGAGCUCCUGUGAAACCGGCUAUGUUACGAUUGAAAAUUGAAAAGUCCAAGGCUACUCUAGUCUGAAAGAAAGAGGGCAGCCUCAAACAACGAGCUAACAAUGAGAUUCAGAAGAUCUUCAGAAAAACAUUUACCACCAAUAAACAGACUCCAACCUGC
RNAcentral lists this long non-coding RNA (362 nucleotides) under Fukomys damarensis (Damara mole-rat). Its description in RNAcentral is "lncRNA (ENSFDAG00000028232.1)". The record is from RNAcentral. Lineage: Eukaryota; Metazoa; Chordata; Mammalia; Rodentia; Bathyergidae.